This 253-nucleotide ribosomal RNA is filed under the name uncultured prokaryote. RNAcentral's name for it is "partial 16S ribosomal RNA". It matches the Rfam family "Bacterial small subunit ribosomal RNA", at positions 524 to 776 of the family's 1533-position model. The record is from RNAcentral.
UACGAGGGGAGCUAGCGUUGUUCGGAAUUACUGGGCGUAAAGCGCGCGUAGGCGGCUUUGCAAGUCGGAUGUGAAAUCCCCGGGCUCAACCUGGGAACUGCAUUCGAGACUGCAUAGCUAGGGUGCGGAAGAGGGAAGCGGAAUUUCCGGUGUAGCGGUGAAAUGCGUAGAUAUCGGAAGGAACACCAGUGGCGAAAGCGGCUUCCUGGUCCAGCACCGACGUUCAGGCACGAAAGCGUGGGGAGCAAACAGG